This 76-nucleotide transfer RNA is filed under the name Synergistetes bacterium HGW-Synergistetes-1. RNAcentral's name for it is "tRNA-Lys". It matches the Rfam family "tRNA". Rfam says of the family: Transfer RNA (tRNA) molecules are approximately 80 nucleotides in length. RNAcentral also lists the same sequence under 2 other names. Lineage: Bacteria; Thermotogati; Synergistota. The record is from RNAcentral.
GAGCCGUUAGCUCAGCUGGCAGAGCACCGGACUUUUAAUCCGGGUGUCCCGGGUCCGAGUCCCGGACGGCUCACCA